UCUAUCGAGCCUCGAAACAAUGUAACAGGAGCGAAUCGUUCGUCGUGAACAGGUGACUCUCCCGGCACGAUACACACGGCGUACAUACGUAUUAUAGUUUUUAAACGCUAAGAAACAAAAUCUCCUUAGUCAAUAAAUAACGUAAGUACAUUUUCAUACUGAUCAUGGAAAACGAAGGAAUUUCAUGUGUCAUGUGGAGGUCGGCCGUUGGUGUGAUUCUUUUCUCAGUAAAAGUUCCUCGCAAAUUUUUUCUUGGUGCUUUACUAAUCAUUUCUCUUACCAGUCGUUACGAUAUAGUGAUUUUAAGAGUGAUUGCUCCUUCGUUUCGUGUAUAUCGGUGAUAGACGAAUUAUAAAUUAACCAUUGUCAUUAACAUCACCGAAGUUAUAUCAAUUAAUUGUCAUUCUCUCUCUCUCUCUCUCUCUCUCUCUCUCUCUCUCUCUCUCUCUCUCUCUCUCUCUCUCUCUCUCUCUCUCUCUCUCUCUCUCUCUCUCUCUCUCUCUAAAUAUUAUAGCACGUUUCUUUUUUCUUUUAAUUACGUCAGUUUUAUAAAUAAGAAGUAUUCCAAUCGUAUAACGAAUGAAUGUUACUCUAUAAUCAAUAAUUUUUAAAUACGAUUAAAUCAAAUACGAUUCAAGAAUAAACAGUAAAAAUAAACAGUUAAUAUAGUACAUUAUAUAUAGGUUGAACGUAACGUCGAUCUGUAACAUCAUCAGUCAUUUCGAGUAAACGUAAAUACGUGCUAUCACGAUAAAAAAGAGAGGGAGGCUUGCAAAUAAAGGCAUUGACGAUAGCGAGCUUGUACACGAUCUAAUCGGCCUACCUAACUGAACCGUAUCUCUUUUUAUAGUCGAUAGAACGAUUUACGAUUCUAAUGUCAUCUUAAACGGCCGACAACGAACGUUUGACUAAUGAUUUUUCUCUUUUUAGCAGUCUCUUUGUACAUCUCAUUCGGAAAACUACAAAAUAAUAUAUUAGAAGUUGAAUUCGUUAUCCGUUCAAACUGUAAUGUAUCAAUUAACGUGCUCUUUCAAAAAAUAUAAAAGAUGAGUACAAUAAAAAAAUCAUCAAAGUAGUGAAUCAAACGCAUUUCUUUACAAAUCGUUAUAAAACUAAAAAUAAUAAGACGAAGAUCGAUAUAAAAGUUUAACAGGAUCAUCUUCGUGGUCGUUCGCGCGAGCACUAUACUCCGAAAAUGUUUCUGUAUCGGUAUAGAGGGAAAGGCAAAAGAGAGAGGGAGUAAAAUGGGCAGAAGGUCUCGCGGGAGCAAUAACCGUAAAACGCGCGAGAGUGUAUGCGUGUAUGUGUGUAUAUGGGCGAUGUGUGUGCGUACGAGUUAGUAUUUGUGAUGGGUGGUUAAAGUGUCAGGGCGAAGGCAACGAUACAAGUUCGAGAUGCAUGGUACUCGAGAGCGAUCGAGAUCUAAGGGGAAAGCUGAUGGAUCGAGUGUGAGCAACGAAUAAAGCAGCUGUCCGAUAGAGAGAGAGAGAGAGAGAGAGAGAGAGAGAGAGAGAGAGAGAGAGAGAGAGAGAGAUUGAAAUAGUAAUAAUAUCGCGUUGAUCCAAAAAAAUAGAUACGAUAGAAGAAAAAUAAAGAUAAUGAUGUAAUCAACUAUGUAUUUAAUAUUACAAUAAAAAUGUAAUGUUUAAGAAUUACGACCGAUGAAAGAAAUAAAAAAGAGAAAAAAGAAAGGACGAUCGAAAAUAAAAGCUCGAUAGAUCGUUAGCGAAGGAAUCAAAAAUCGAUCGAUUUUCCGCGUGGUCUCGAAGCGAAAGUCCAGCCCUCGAGUUUCGCGAUAUUCGACGUAUACCUAGAGGGACAACCACCCUUGCCACCCCCGUCGUUCACUCGAACGCGAAUGUGCGAGCGGUCGGGCUUCUAUAACGUACAGCGAGAGUAUGCGGAGGGAGCGAGAGACAGAUUAAUGUGACCCCGUCACCGUUCGAACAAAGCUUCGCACAAUGGCCGCACACACCGGGGACAGUGGACGGUCGCAACGACGCUCGCAACGACCUUCGCUUACGGAUGGCUGGGAUGGUAGCUUUGCUGGGAGGAUCGGACGAAUGGCACUCGGCUGAUACCAAGCGGACAAACCCAAGCUGGAUGCUAGAAUCACCUCUUAAGAAUACACAUGCCCCAGAAGGACGAACGAGCGAAAUGGUAGAAUUAGUAUUCUCUUAGGAAAAUAAAAAUGACCAAUGGACGACAAUGAAUGGACGUUUGGAUUAGAAUUGACAGGUUUGUAUAUCAUGAAAUAAAUCGAUGAAUAUCGGAACGAUUUUGAGCUAUCCGACAAAUCGACAGAGAAAGAUACUCGAUAAGGGGAUACACGGAGUUUCCAUUCGUCUUACCUUAGCGAAUCGGAGGUCUGCCGGCUGUCAGGAUAAAGGAUGUUUAGGACAGUUGGCUGAGUUCGACGAUCGAUGAACCUCUUCUUCCUGUCAAAACACCACAUACAACGGUUACCGUUCCUUUUAAGAGAUAUGGACAACUCUCGAGGGAAGAAAUUGUAGGACGAUGAAUCAAGAGUGAAAAGGUGUCGAACGAUGGCUGUCGGCCAUUAUUG
Molecule: long non-coding RNA, 2566 nt
Organism: Vespula vulgaris
Lineage: Eukaryota; Metazoa; Arthropoda; Insecta; Hymenoptera; Vespidae
Exons: 4
Source: RefSeq, a predicted model, not a curated record